This 420-nucleotide ribosomal RNA is filed under the name uncultured bacterium. Its description in RNAcentral is "bacterial SSU rRNA". It matches the Rfam family "Bacterial small subunit ribosomal RNA", at positions 355 to 774 of the family's 1533-position model. The record is from RNAcentral.
UAAGGAAUAUUGCUCAAUGGGAGAAAUCCUGAAGCAGCAACGCCGCGUGGAGGAUGAAGGGUCUAUGACUUGUAAACUCCUGUAAAGAAGGAAAAAAUUCCCAUUUGAUGGGAGAUGAUGGUACUUCUGGAGUAAGCCCCGGCUAACUACGUGCCAGCAGCCGCGGUAAUACGUAGGGGGCAAGCGUUGUCCGGAUUUACUGGGUGUAAAGGGUGCUCAGGCGGAUUUGUAAGUCAGAGGUGAAAUCUUACAGCUUAGCUGUGAAACUGCCUUUGAUACUGCAAGCCUAGAGUAUGGAAGAGAGUGAUGGAAUAUCUGGUGUAGCAGUGAAAUGCGUAGAUAUCAGAUAGAACACCAAUGGCGAAGGCAGUCACUUGGUCCAUUACUGACGCUAAAGCACGAAAGCGUGGGUAGCAAACA